CCAAUGACACCCAUAGUGGAA
RNAcentral lists this microRNA (21 nucleotides) under Brachypodium distachyon (stiff brome). RNAcentral describes it as "bdi-miR5167a-3p". Lineage: Eukaryota; Viridiplantae; Streptophyta; Magnoliopsida; Poales; Poaceae. The record is from miRBase by way of RNAcentral.